CCUACGGGAGGCAGCAGUGAGGAAUAUUGGUCAAUGGACGAGAGUCUGAACCAGCCAAGUAGCGUGAAGGAUGACUGCCCUCUGGGUUGUAAACUUCUUUUAUAAAGGAAUAAAACGAGGCACGUGUGCCUUUUUGCAUGUACUUUAUGAAUAAGGAUCGGCUAACUCCGUGCCAGCAGCCGCGGUAAUACGGAGGAUCCGAGCGUUAUCCGGAUUUAUUGGGUUUAAAGGGAGCGUAGAUGGGUUGUUAAGUCAGUUGUGAAAGUUUGCGGCUCAACCGGAAAAUUGCAAUUGAUACUGGCAGUCUAGAGUACAGGUGAGGUAGGCGGAAUUCGUGGUGUAGCGGUGAAAUGCUUAGAUAUCACGAAGAACCCCGAUUGCGAAGGCAGCUUACUAAACUGUGACUGACAUUGAUGCUCGAAAGUGUGGGUAUCAAACAGGAUUAGAUACCCGGGUAGUC
This 460-nucleotide ribosomal RNA is filed under the name uncultured bacterium. RNAcentral describes it as "partial 16S ribosomal RNA". It matches the Rfam family "Bacterial small subunit ribosomal RNA", at positions 338 to 795 of the family's 1533-position model. The record is from RNAcentral.